UAGCCAAUACAGCCCAUACAUCACAUAAUAUUAUCUCCAAAUCACCAGUCUUACAAUUCAAGAAUCUGCUGCUCGAACACAGCAAGACAUCACAAUAAUUUCACUAUAACAGUCUUAGAAUUUAAGAAACUGCUGUCUCAAAUUUGCAUAACAACAGCGACACAAUAGCUGCGAACAAUAGAAUAACAGCGACAACAACAACUCAUAACAGCGGCAACACAGCAGCAAACAACACAAAAUAGUCUUGCUGCAGUCAACAAAAUUAUCCUUGGCAUCGCAGGCACCAAUGCCACCAAAAUAUGAGAGCCAAAGAGCUUACUACUGAAGAUCUGGCGUCUUUGGAGCUUGUCCUUCUAUUUGUUGAUCAAGACAUGCCUCCAUGUUAGCCGUACAUGUGCAAAAAAGAAAUGCCAUAAACUUGAGAAAUAAAACAUGGACAGAAGUGAACAAUACAAAAUGGAAAUAACACCGUACAUGUGAAAAUAUCUGGGAAAAAAUCAUCAGAUUCCUAAUAGCCAGCGAUGCAUAAGCAUUAGCAAAAGAUGUUGGAAACAGUCAUAGCAUAAAGAAAAUGCUUCUCACAGCUUAAAGCAAACACUUACCUUGGUCAGUUUGUAGUGUGUGGCAAUAGAUGUCCAUUCCAGUUUCCUGGGCAAACAAAGUGAAAGGGAAGGUGAAGGCUAGAAGAGAACAAACCAAAUUCCAUUACAAAGGUAAGUUCAAAUUUAUUUAUAACAUUUCCUAUUCUUAUAGUGAAAGAGCAAUGAUUCCAUUUUCACAAAACAUACAGGGACCUAAAUCACUGAAAUGUAGCUAUUUCUGACAUAAUCUAUUGGAAAAAUCUCACGCAACUGGCUGGUGGUUUGUGCUGACGAAUAAUGCAACAUUCUU
RNAcentral lists this long non-coding RNA (891 nucleotides) under Sorghum bicolor (sorghum). RNAcentral's name for it is "long non-coding RNA (SBIC_LNC012826)". The record is from RNAcentral. Lineage: Eukaryota; Viridiplantae; Streptophyta; Magnoliopsida; Poales; Poaceae.